AAGCAGAAGUCACUGUGCACAAAGUAGCAUAUCUUUGACAUUUGUCUAUACGGAUUACUACACCUUUCCUCAAGGUAUCUGCUUAAGACUGCUUUUAUAAUCCAACGAAGCAAUACGGAUACUAUCGUAUCCCAUACCAUUACUAUUGAAUUGCCGUAACCGUUUUUGACUUCAUAGUGUAUUAUUGCUACCAAUUUGGUGGUAUGACGGG
This 211-nucleotide long non-coding RNA is filed under the name Mytilus galloprovincialis (Mediterranean mussel). The record is from RNAcentral. Lineage: Eukaryota; Metazoa; Mollusca; Bivalvia; Mytilida; Mytilidae.